Molecule: ribosomal RNA, 310 nt
Filed under: uncultured eukaryote
Lineage: Eukaryota
Description: partial 18S ribosomal RNA
Rfam family: Eukaryotic small subunit ribosomal RNA
Source: RNAcentral
CCCUUAGAUGUUCUGGGCGGCCCGCGCACUACAAUGGCGCUUUCAGCGAGUUCCUAUGUUGAAUUUUCCUGGGUAUUCUUGGAAGCGGCGUCUUGACUUGGGAUAGAUCCUUGUAAUUGUUGGUUUUGAACGAGGAGUUCCUUGUAAUCGCGGUUGAUCAGCUCGCGUUGAAUACGUCCCUGCCCUUUGUACACACCGCCCGUCGCUCCUACCGAUGAAUCGUCCGGUGAAGUUCACAGAGUGGCGGUUCGUGGAGUUGCUCGCGAAGUGAAAUGGACCUCACGAUUUAGAGGAAGGAGAAGUCGUAACA